Molecule: non-coding RNA, 18 nt
Filed under: Arabidopsis thaliana (thale cress)
Lineage: Eukaryota; Viridiplantae; Streptophyta; Magnoliopsida; Brassicales; Brassicaceae
Also listed under: 2 other names
Source: RNAcentral
UGCUCUGAAUGUCAAAGU